UAAUACUGGAUAGGCAAUUAUUCCUGUAAUGGUUUUUUGUUUAAAUGUUUUUUCGCCUAAGGAUGGGUCUGCGGCCGAUUAGGUAGUUGGUUAGGUAAUGGUUUACCAAGCCUUUGAUCGGUACGGGUUGUGAGAGCAAGAGCCCGGAGAUGGAACCUGAGACAAGGUUCCAGGCCCCACGGGGUGCAGCAGGCGCGAAACCUCCGCAAUGUGAGAAAUCGCGACGGGGGGAUCCCAAGUGCCAUUCUUAACGGGAUGGCUUUUCUUUAGUGUAAAAAGCUUUUGGAAUAAGAGCUGGGCAAGACCGGUGCCAGCCGCCGCGGUAACACCGGCAGCUCUAGUGGUAGCAAUUUUUAUUGGGCCUAAAGCGUCCGUAGCCGGUUUAAUAAGUCUCUGGUGAAAUCCUGUAGCUUAACUGUGGGAAUUGCUGGAGAUACUAUUAGACUUGAGACCGGGAGAGGUUAGAGGUACUCCCAGGGUAGAGGUGAAAUUCUGUAAUCCUGGGAGGACCGCCUGUUGCGAAGGCGUCUAACUGGAACGGUUCUGACGGUGAGGGACGAAAGUUAGGGGCGCGAACCGGAUUAGAUACCCGGGUAGUCCUAACUGUAAACGAUGCGGACUUGGUGUUG
This 629-nucleotide ribosomal RNA is filed under the name uncultured archaeon. RNAcentral's name for it is "bacterial SSU rRNA". It matches the Rfam family "Archaeal small subunit ribosomal RNA", at positions 147 to 776 of the family's 1478-position model. The record is from RNAcentral.